Molecule: ribosomal RNA, 301 nt
Filed under: uncultured bacterium
Lineage: Bacteria
Description: partial 16S ribosomal RNA
Rfam family: Bacterial small subunit ribosomal RNA
Source: RNAcentral
CAGUAGCCACGGUAAUACGUAGGGUGCAAGCGUUAAUCGGAAUUACUGGGCGUAAAGCGUGCGCAGGCGGUUAUAUAAGUCAGAUGUGAAAUCCCCGGGCUCAACCUGGGAACUGCAUUUGAGACUGUAUGGCUAGAGUGUGUCAGAGGGGGGUAGAAUUCCACGUGUAGCAGUGAAAUGCGUAGAUAUGUGGAGGAAUACCGAUGGCGAAGGCAGCCCCCUGGGAUAACACUGACGCUCAUGCAUGAAAGCGUGGGGAGCAAACAGGAUUAGAUACCCGCGUAGUCCCUGUCUCUUAUAC